RNA transcript from Vicia villosa (hairy vetch), 4095 nucleotides. RefSeq lists it as uncharacterized. The record is from RefSeq and is a predicted model, not a curated record. The transcript has 4 exons. NCBI's taxonomy places the organism in Eukaryota, Viridiplantae, Streptophyta, Magnoliopsida, Fabales, Fabaceae.
CUUCUCUUUGGUUCCAAAAUAACCUAUCAAAUUCAAAUUAUUCUCUUUUCUCUUUUCCCCAUUCAUGUUCUCUCUCUUAUCCUUCUUCUUUCUUCUCUCUCCUCUUGUCUCAAUUCACCCUUUCUCUUUGUCUUUUUCUUUCUUCUCUCUUUGUGCAGAAAACAUACAAUAGCUCCAUUUAACUAUCUAUUCUCUUAGCUAAAAUCUAUAAAUGUUUGAUUUCGAUGAUAUUUUCAUGUAUACGGUAAUGUUUCGAGGCUGAUUAGGUGGUUGUGAAGUGUUCCAGAGAGUUGGACAUUGUUUCCACACUCACUAUCAACCAUUAUCAGUCCUAAAAGCUCCACCGCCGGAGAUCCGGGUGAUUCUUCAACCUUCACUUCGAUCUGUACUUGAUCUGGUUUUCUAUUGUUGUUAACUUUCUUCAUUGUUGAUUUAUCAUGUUAGAAACCAUCAAUACCUCUCUUUAACCCAUUCAUCUACCAUGUCAGAAACCAAAAUGUUUGCGUUUCAGGAUGAGAUCAACUAGCUUUUCAAUCUUAUCAUAAACACGUUAUACUCUAACAAGGAGAUCUUUCUAAGGGAACUCUUCAGUAACACCUCUCAUGUAAGCUUCUGAUUUACUCGCAUUUUUAGGAGUUUUUGAUGUCGUUUACGUACUUUUUAUGCUUGAUCUAUGAUUUAUACAUGUUAUACAUUCAAGCGAUGAGUUUUGGUGUUUUGUUUGCAACACUGAUGUGCAGGCACAUGGUUUGACUCUACUUAAAUUUUUCUAUUCAUAUACUGAGUAGUGACUUAGAAUAACACAUUGAAGGUUGAAUGUAGGUGAUUAGUCUGGUUGGCACUCAAAAGGUUUCCCUUCAUCCUAACGAUAUGUUGCUGCUGGCCAAUUUUGUGAUGUCAUCAAAAUCUUUGAGGCUAAUAGAAUUAAUUUGUUUGAUAUAGUACUCACAUUGACAUACGAUAUAACUUACUACUCAUUUCUUAAAGGUUUCGGUAACUGUUUAUUAUUUGUGGCAAGCCGACACAUACUUGAUGUUGCUAACCACUAAUUUAGAUGCAUUUUAUCAUCUUAAAGACUACCGGUAAUUUAGAUGCAUUUGAUCAGUUAUUUCUGCUUGGGCAAUUUGACCUCUUGUAGUUGUUUUUAGCAGGUUCGGAGGUUGUGGUAGUAUACUUCGGAAAUGCCAACAUCACCUGAUUUCUCAAGUGAUCAUCAAGUCAAAUCAUGUCGACUCUACUCGCCGUGGUAGUCAGAUUAUGCAGGUAGCAAAUUCUGAUGUAGGCAAAUGAUUAUUGGUGUAUCGUAGCUUUGUUGCAGGGGUAACUGAAUCAACUGCACCAGAAAGUAUGUUGGAGUGACUAUGUUGGAAAUUGGUAUGUUAGUGACUUGGUGUCUAUUUGAGAAUAAAUCGGUCAGAAUCAACUGCACCAAAUUUGGUUGUUGGGAAAAAACGCAUUAGGCUUUAUCCAACAUCUUUAUCUGAGGAACAUUUCCCCUACUCAGAAACCAUGCUUAGCAAUACCAGCCAGAUGACAUAGAUGAAAUUAAGUUUCCUAAGGUGCAAGACUUGCAAUUUGUAGACUGCAUUUUAGAGGAAUGUGAAAAGUUAUACAUCUCGACAAAGCGGUGGCACUAUGUGCGGUCUUUAACUACCAAUUUUUCAGUUGGCUUUUGGUGAGUCAGAGCUUCUCAUUCUUGGUGGGCUUCUCAUUCCUAAAUGCAUAUUCAUUUCUAUUUCAUAUACAUUGAGUAAAAAACUUUGAUUAAUUGAUUCAAUCCUAUUACCAAUUGGAUUUCAAACUUAUAAUCAUAUGAACUAACACAGUUUGAUAUUUUACAACAUCAUGCUAUUUACAAAUCAAUUUGUAAGUUAUAAAAGCGAUGAAACAUUGAAAUUGAUCAUAUUGCAUAGCACCAGAACACAAUGUUAACUUUACAAGAUUGCAUUACCAAUUAAAUUUCUAACUUAUAUUCAUAUGAACCAUAAUAUUUUUAUACAUCAUACCAGAAUCUAUUCCUGUAAAUAAUUAAUUACAUAACAGUAGCUAGAGAUUGGAAAAAGUUUCAGUUUUGAUGUUUUUUUGUUGUUUCUCCAGGUUACUCAUUUAUUAAAUGUUCUUGGCUUUGAUGGGUUUUGUUUCCUCUUAGGGGAAAGAAGUUGAUUAAUCUAUCAUUUGAACAUUUAAAUACAAAUUUUCAUUCUUUUUUGUUUUAAUUCUUUUACCGAUAUGUUGUAUUUCAUUGGAAACAAACUUAAUUAUUUACAAGUAACUGAACAACUGUCUAUACUUCAAGGAAGAGAAUUAAGAUAAUAUCAAACAGAUGGGCUGCAAUGGAUGAUUUCUUUGUUAAAUAUCAACUUAAUGGGAUUUUGGCUGAUGAAAUGGGGCUUGGGAAAACAAUACAAAUUGUUUCUCAUAGCACAUCUUUUGGAAUACAAAGGUGUGAUUGGUCCCCACUUGAUUGUUGCUCAAGGAAGUUCUACCAAACUGGAUCAUUGAAUUCUCAACAUGGGGUCCUAGGGCUUGUGAAAACAUCCCAAUUAUUCUAUGUGGAAAUAAGGUUGAUGUGAAGAACAGGCAAGGGAAGAUGGAGACAGUGUCAGAAUUGGUGAAGGAGAGUAUGGUCCUGUUUUCAUAUGGCGCGUUACAACAAAGGUGACUACUAAUAUCUUCAUGAAUCGCAUCUCCAAACUUAGGAAGGUUACAAUAAUCGAUGGCGCUUUUAAUCAUACUUUCAUUGGCGAGUUUGCUCGUGCGGGUGAUUGUUGUGAUUUUAACCAUGUUCGUUGAAUUCGUACUCAUUAGCUCUCUUGAUUCGAUUUUCAUCAUGUCUUAUAACUUGACGUGGUGGUAAUAGGAAAUUGUGUUCCUCACCGUUGUCUUCUUCUAAUUCUCCCUACCUUAUCUUCACCGCUUCGUUUGGAUAAACCAUUAGUUCAAUUGUUUUGGCUGUUGGGAAUGAGAAUUUAAGUAAGUUUUUCUUAGCAAUCUGUUUCAUUCCAGUCUUCUUCCAAUUAGUUUUGUUAGAUUAUUUUCCUUUCAUGUAAUUCCUUUAUCUCCCCAAAGUGCUUAUUUGUGAUUUUUCUAUUAUAUCUUUUGUUCACAACACGGGAAUAUAUUUCCUGAUUCUUAAACUAGCUCUAGAAUUGUUUAACAAGUUAUUAUUCAUGUAGUAUACCUAUAAAUCGCAGAUGGUGGGAUGGAAAGGCGCUGCUUCCAAUUUGCUGGUGGUGGGAAGGGUAAUCUUGAGUAUACUGACAUGGUUGAUGCUUCUGUUGUCGUUGGAUCUAACGAAAAGAUUGCCUGGUAAGAAUAAGAGUAUCAUGGAAAAGAAACUCAACAAACCUAAACGAGAGAUGGAGUUAUUUGGACCUGAAGUAGUGGUUAGCAAAUAUUGUGAAUAUACAGGCGACGAAGAAGAAGAUUACUUAUGGUGGUUAGAUCUUCCCUAUGUACUGGUAUAUAUGUAUGUUUUUUUUUGUUUCCACCAUUUCACUUUCAAACAUGAAGUUUAAGGUCUGUUGGACUGUCUUAUUGAAGGCUUAUUUUUUGACAUAAACACUGAUGUUGAAUCAAUUUCUUUAUUUGCUGUAAGUGCACCGAGGUAUAUAUAGUUGACAAGGAAUCAUUUACUCAAUAGUUUCAUUGUUUUGUAAUUUAUAAUGUUAUUAAUGAUUUUAUUAUUUUCUUGAUAAAAAGGUUAAAGCGAAAAUGAAAGUAAUUUGGAAGGGUUGGCUGAAACCUGAAACUAUCAUCAAUGAAAAUGGUUAAAGCAAAUUAUGGCUUGCCUGCAUUGUAGAAUAAGUUAAUUUCUUUAUGUAGUUUUUUUUUCUUUACACAAAUUAGAGUUGUUUGUAUAUGAUUGAGUAAAAUAUAGUCAAAUUAUAAUAGUUGCUGAUGAUAACUUGAUGGCAUAGUGAGAAUUUUUUCAUCAAGAAUGUUCUUUAGUAGAAGAGAUUAGUAAUUAAAAUGAGUUAUUCUUUAGUCAUAUACUGAGUGUCACUUUAUUAAGAAAAGUUGUAAAUGAAAGAGUAUAAUAAUUUCCUAAAUAAAAAAAAAAAAAGAAUGAGCCUAACAAUUUUAUAAAAUUAU